This 405-nucleotide ribosomal RNA is filed under the name uncultured bacterium. RNAcentral's name for it is "partial 16S ribosomal RNA". It matches the Rfam family "Bacterial small subunit ribosomal RNA", at positions 30 to 526 of the family's 1533-position model. The record is from RNAcentral.
AUUGAACGCUGGCGGCAGGCCUAACACAUGCAAGUCGGGCGAGGGGCGGACGGGUGAGUAAUGUUUGGGAAUCUACCUUAUGGAGGGGGAUAACUACGGGAAACUGUAGCUAAUACCGCGUACCAUAGGAUGAGCCUAAGUGGGAUUAGGUAGUUGGUGAGGUAAAGGCUCACCAAGCCGACGAUCUCUAGAUGGUCUGCGAGGAUGACCACCCACACCGGGACUGAGACACGGCCCAGUCCCCGACGUGAGGCAGCAGCUGUGAAUAUUGCGCGAUGGGGGCAACCUGACGCAGCCAUGCCGCGUGAGGGAAGAAGGCCUUCGGGUUGUAAAUUUCUUUCGGUAGCGAGGCGUUAACUACAGAAGAAGCACCGGCUAACUCCGUGCCAGCAGCCGCGGUAAUUC